CUGAGAUUCCCCCCAGAGAGGAGCAAAAGAAGGAGCAGACCCCAUGUUGUGCCCCCAUUUUGGGGCUUUUCCUCAGUACCUGAGACUGGACUGACCUCUGAGGACAGCUGAGGAAUGGGACAAGGUUCUGGGGCUCAGAGUGGAAUAUUCCAGCUGCAACUACGGGAGUCAGUGACGGCGCAGGAGGGUCUUGGGGAGGCGAGUAUUGAGAGCGCCAGCAGUAUUGAGCCCUGACAGAUCAAUAAUCACUCUAAGUGUAAAUGGAUCGAAUUCUCCAAUCAAAAGACACAGAGUAGACCGAUGGGUUAAAAAAACAACAGCUAACAAUAUGCUGCCUGCAGGAAACACAUCUCAGCUCUAAAGACAAACACAGGCUCGGAGUGAAGGGAUGGAACAUGAUACCCCAAGCAGAUGGCAAGCCAAAGACAGCAGGUGUUGCCAUAUUUGCAUCAGAGAAAGCAGACUUCAAGGUGAAAAAGAGAAUGAAAGACAAAGAGGGGCGGUAUAUAAUGAUAAAAGGGACAUUCUGCCGAGAGGAAAUAACACUUAUGAAUAUAUAUGCACCUAACACAGAGCACCAAAGACAAAAUCUUGCCAUUUGUGACAACGUGGGUGGACCUUGAGGGUAUUAUGUUAAGUGAAAUAAGCCAGACACAGAAAGACAAACACUGUAUGAUUUCACUCAUAUAUGGAAGAUAAACAAGCACAUGGACAGGAGAACAGAUCAGUGGUUAGCAGAGGGGAAAGGAGUUGGUGGAGGGAAAAAGGGGUAAAGGGGCACAUAUGUAUAACAAUGGAUACAAACUAGACUGCUGGUGGUGAACAUGGUGAGGUCUACACAGAAACUGAUAAAUACUAAUGCCCACGUUAAAUUUACA
This 878-nucleotide long non-coding RNA is filed under the name Equus asinus (donkey). Its description in RNAcentral is "lncRNA (ENSEASG00005035743.1)". Lineage: Eukaryota; Metazoa; Chordata; Mammalia; Perissodactyla; Equidae. The record is from RNAcentral.